RNAcentral lists this unclassified non-coding RNA (876 nucleotides) under Hevea brasiliensis (rubber tree). Lineage: Eukaryota; Viridiplantae; Streptophyta; Magnoliopsida; Malpighiales; Euphorbiaceae. The record is from RNAcentral.
UGCCGACCAGCACCUGUUCAGGUAUGCUUCAGGUUAUUAUUCUUUGGUGUUUUUCUUGAGGUUCAGUUUCUUUUCAUGUAAGAUAAAAUUUGCCAAUGGUUUUCCCAUAAUUUCUUAAAUAUUAUUUCUUUUUUAAGAAGCUACAUAUGUGGAAACAGUUAUGUGCAAUAUUAUAAUUGUUCAUUUUCCAUAUAAAAUCAUUUUGCUAUUUAUAUGAGCAAUUAUUGUGCUUUAAAAAGCCUCCUUUUGAUUUUAUGGCUUUUUAAGACUUUUCUGAAUGAAUGGCCACCUUACUGUGCAGUUUUUCUUUUAUGAGUAGCCAUUCAUGGGAAAUUUGCAGAGCUUGGAAUGGCCAAUUUGUCAUUUAUUGCAGAACUUUUUUUGAAAAAUAAUCCUCCCGAGUUUUGUUUUAUCUGGAAAAAAAAGGAACAUGUGUAACUUUUUUUGCUUGGGCCUCUUAUGUGUAAUAUCACUUUAUUAAAGUGUAAUUGUGCACAUUUUUGCGUUAAGAAUUUUUUAGAUUAUCAUCACUUCUAGGAAGAAAGUCCUCACUCCUUAGCUUCCUAAAGUGAAAACCAGGAUCACUAUGCAUACGCACAAUUACAUUUGGUGUAGACGAUCGAAUGGACAUCAUCUUUUAUCAAAAACUUUUCUCUUUUGCUCGAUGUAUUGCAAAGAGGGCAACUUUAUGGGAUACUGGUGAGGCAUGAUUCUCAUUAAUGAACAAGCUAUCACCAAUCUCUAGCAGCGGUGAGCUGAAAACCAAAAUCGAAUUACAUAAUUGUAUAUCCAAGCACUUAUUCUUUUUCCCUUCAUUGUCAAAUCUUGUUCAUUCUAGUUGUCAUCAGAGGUUAAAAUUUCCUUUCUAGGGCUUGC